RNAcentral lists this ribosomal RNA (497 nucleotides) under uncultured bacterium. RNAcentral's name for it is "partial 16S ribosomal RNA". It matches the Rfam family "Bacterial small subunit ribosomal RNA", at positions 28 to 507 of the family's 1533-position model. The record is from RNAcentral.
GAUGAACGCUGGCGGCGUGCCUAAUACAUGCAAGUCGAGCGAACAGACGAGGAGCUUGCUCCUCUGACGUUAGCGGCGGACGGGUGAGUAACACGUGGAUAACCUACCUAUAAGACUGGGAUAACUUCGGGAAACCGGAGCUAAUACCGGAUAAUAUAUUGAACCGCAUGGUUCAAUAGUGAAAGACGGUUUUGCUGUCACUUAUAGAUGGAUCCGCGCCGCAUUAGCUAGUUGGUAAGGUAACGGCUUACCAAGGCAACGAUGCGUAGCCGACCUGAGAGGGUGAUCGGCCACACUGGAACUGAGACACGGUCCAGACUCCUACGGGAGGCAGAAGUAGGGAAUCUUCCGCAAAGGGCGAAAGCCUGACGGAGCAACGCCGCGUGAGUGAUGAAGGUCUUCGGAUCGUAAAACUCUGUUAUUAGGGAAGAACAAAUGUGUAAGUAACUAUGCACGUCUUGACGGUACCUAAUCAGAAAGCCACGGCUAACUACGUG